RNAcentral lists this long non-coding RNA (467 nucleotides) under Felis catus (domestic cat). RNAcentral's name for it is "lncRNA (ENSFCAG00000045502.2)". The record is from RNAcentral. Lineage: Eukaryota; Metazoa; Chordata; Mammalia; Carnivora; Felidae.
AUAUAGCCUGUCUUGUGGGUUGGGACGCCCAGAGCCUUCUGUGCUUUGCUUAAGAACAGUAGAUGAUGCUCACGAAGCCUCUGAAUCCCGCGUGCUUCCCAUGAGAAGGGCGCUGUUCCAUAGUGACAACAGUGGAUAUCAGCGCCAUGAAGGGUCCUUCCCGAGAGACUCCUGAAACACUCAUUUCGCAGCGAAGAUGCCUGCCAGCAAGACCGACUGGAAAAAGAAUUUUCUCUCCCAUUGACUUGGAUCAUAAAAUCAGAGGAAUUUCUCCUAUUUGGAUUUACCCGGGAGCCUAGUGGAAUUAGCCUGAACUGGCUGAUUUAUUUCCUAUGGAAGGAAACUGAAUGCAAUCCCACAAACUACCAGUAGAUGUCACUAUGUGCCACGUUAUCGUGCUUGCGGUCUCCCACCUGACUUUCCCUUGAAUUUUAAAAUUCCCAUCCACAAACUCCUGGGAAUCCCUG